CAGGUACAGAAAAUAAGCAGAGCAUCCAGGAUGGGGCUGUAGGUCUGUAGUUCCGAGCAAUUCAACGACCACACCCUUGGGUUCUAAUGGGAACCAUUGGAGAGGUAACCCAAAAGUCUCUUCUAGCCCAAGAUAGACAGGUACAAACCUCUCAGUGGAAGUGUUUCUGUGAUCGUUGCCAGGUGUUUGGGAGGGCCUAGGAUUUAUGUGCCAGAAGCUUGGUCCCCAAGGUGGUGUGGUAUUGGGAUGGUGAUAUGGGUGAUGUUUUGAGAGAGAGGAAGUUGCAACACUGGAAACAUCACCUGCCACAGAGAUUAAUGUCGUUCUUGUAGGACCCUAAUUAAUUCCUGCAAAGUUGUGGUUAAAAAAUGAUACUUCCUGUGUGUCUCCUGUCCUCACUCAAUGAGGAGGAAGGAGGGGUACCUGGGGUGAAGGGAAGAGCAUAUUGGCACAGGCGACGAUGCCACAGACUAGUGACUGUACUGAUAGCAAGCACAGCUUCAAGUCCUUCAUAACUCUGCCAUUCCCGAGACACAACAUCCCCUCAAAGUCUAUUGAUGAAGAGCCAUCAGCCAUCUGUCAGCCCAUUAAAUGUGUGUCCAGUCCUCCACCUAAUAAAACACCCCAUAAACAUC
RNAcentral lists this long non-coding RNA (635 nucleotides) under Mus caroli (Ryukyu mouse). Its description in RNAcentral is "lncRNA (MGP_CAROLIEiJ_G0006265.1)". Lineage: Eukaryota; Metazoa; Chordata; Mammalia; Rodentia; Muridae. The record is from RNAcentral.